Spea bombifrons (plains spadefoot toad) is the source of this 353-nucleotide long non-coding RNA. RefSeq lists it as uncharacterized. The transcript has 2 exons. The record is from RefSeq and is a predicted model, not a curated record. NCBI's taxonomy places the organism in Eukaryota, Metazoa, Chordata, Amphibia, Anura, Pelobatidae.
UUUGAGAAACUUUACAGUUCACCUUUUUGCCACCUUAGACUUCUUUAGUAAAUUAUAGCUCCAUCUAGCGGUGUUAAGUUGUAUUACACCUUGUUUUCUAGUUAAAGAAUAAUGCAUUGUGGGUGAUUGCAAGGCAUUCUGGGAGGGAGGAGCCUCCAUUUUACAGUCUUCAGUCACCAGGACUCAUCAUCAGAGCUGUCUCUGUAUGUCUCCUUCCAAAACUCCACCAUCUGUGUAAUAGCAUAUCUGUUUUACCACAUCACAUUACCACAUCACAUUACAUGUGUGUAAUCCUGUUUUGCCAUAUAUACUCAACAACCUGUUCACCAAUAAACAAGUUAAACUACAAAGAA